CCUACGGGAGGCAGCAGUGGGGAAUUUUGGACAAUGGGCGCAAGCCUGAUCCAGCAAUGCCGCGUGAGUGAAGAAGGCCUUCGGGUUGUAAAGCUCUUUUGUCAGGGAGGAAACGGCUGAGGCUAAUAUCCUCGGCUAAUGACGGUACCUGAAGAAUAAGCACCGGCUAACUACGUGCCAGCAGCCGCGGUAAUACGUAGGGUGCAAGCGUUAAUCGGAAUUACUGGGCGUAAAGCGUGCGCAGGCGGUUUUGUAAGUCUGUCGUGAAAGCCCCGGGCUUAACCUGGGAAUUGCGAUGGAGACUGCAAGGCUUGAAUCUGGCAGAGGGGGGUAGAAUUCCACGUGUAGCAGUGAAAUGCGUAGAGAUGUGGAGGAACACCGAUGGCGAAGGCAGCCCCCUGGGUCAAGAUUGACGCUCAUGCACGAAAGCGUGGGGAGCAAACAGGAUUAGAUACCCUGGUAGUCCACGCCCUAAACGAUGUCUACUAGUUGUCGGGUCUUAAUUGACUUGGUAACGCAGCUAACGCGUGAAGUAGACCGCCUGGGGAAGUACGGUCGCAAAAUUAAAACUUCAAAUGAAUUGACGG
This 587-nucleotide ribosomal RNA is filed under the name uncultured bacterium. Its description in RNAcentral is "bacterial SSU rRNA". It matches the Rfam family "Bacterial small subunit ribosomal RNA", at positions 338 to 916 of the family's 1533-position model. The record is from RNAcentral.